GGGGACAACAUCCCGAAAGGGGUGCUAAUCCGAAAUGUUGUAGCGACUUCGCAUGAAGUUGCUACUAAAGGUGGGCCUCUGAAUAUGCUACCGCUAGAAGAUGAGCCUGCGUCUGAUUAGCUAGUUGGAGGGGUAACGGCCCACCAAGGCUUCGAUCAGUAGCCGGUCUGAGAGGAUGAACGGCCACACUGGGACUGAGACACGGCCCAGACUCCUACGGGAGGCAGCAGUGGGGAAUCUUCCGCAAUGGACGAAAGUCUGACGGAGCAACGCCGCGUGAGUGAAGAAGGUUUUCGGAUCGUAAAGCUCUUUCGUUAGGGACGAACGUGCUCUUUGUGAAUAAUGGAGAGUAAUGACGGUACCUAAAUAAGAAGCCACGGCUAACUACGUGCCAGCAGCGGC
This 402-nucleotide ribosomal RNA is filed under the name uncultured bacterium. RNAcentral's name for it is "bacterial SSU rRNA". It matches the Rfam family "Bacterial small subunit ribosomal RNA", at positions 139 to 518 of the family's 1533-position model. The record is from RNAcentral.